RNAcentral lists this ribosomal RNA (445 nucleotides) under Zodarion italicum. Its description in RNAcentral is "partial 16S ribosomal RNA". The record is from RNAcentral. Lineage: Eukaryota; Metazoa; Arthropoda; Arachnida; Araneae; Zodariidae.
UUUUAAUAGAUUAAUGAUUAUUAAUAUAAUCUGCCCAAUGAUAAAUUAAAUAGCCGCAGAUUCCUGUGCUAAGGUAGCAUAAUCAUUUGUCUUCUAAUUUAAGACUAGAAUGAAAGAUUAUCCAUUUUAAUUAUUUUUUUAAAUUUACAUUAUUAAUUUAUUUUAAAUAUUAAAAAAUAUUUAUAAAUAAGAAAGACGAUAAGACCCUAUCGAACUUAACUACAGUUAAACUGGGGAAGUUAAUUAAAUAAAAUUUUAAUUUUUUUUUUUUAAUUAAAAUUACCUUUUUUUAAAAAUAAAAUAAUCAAGUUACCGUAGGGAUAACAGCGCAAUAAAUCUUUAAAGAUCUUAUUUAAAUAUUAUUAUUGCGACCUCGAUGUUGAAUAUUUACCUAAAUCACGCAAUAGUAAUUUAAGGAAGUCUGUUCGACUUUUAAUCUUUUACA